UACGGAGGGUGCAAGCGUUGCUCGGAAUUAUUGGGCGUAAAGCGUGCGCAGGCGGUUUUGUAAGUCUGUCGUGAAAGCCCCGGGCUCAACCUGGGAAUUGCGAUGGAGACUGCAAGGCUUGAAUCUGGCAGAGGGGGGUAGAAUUCCACGUGUAGCAGUGAAAUGCGUAGAGAUGUGGAGGAACACCGAUGGCGAAGGCAGCCCCCUGGGUCAAGAUUGACGCUCAUGCACGAAAGCGUGGGGAGCAAACAGG
Molecule: ribosomal RNA, 253 nt
Filed under: uncultured bacterium
Lineage: Bacteria
Description: partial 16S ribosomal RNA
Rfam family: Bacterial small subunit ribosomal RNA
Source: RNAcentral